RNA transcript from Canis lupus familiaris (dog), 1962 nucleotides. It is a transcript of the gene named COMM domain containing 10, with no coding region annotated. The record is from RefSeq and is a predicted model, not a curated record. The transcript is spliced from 8 exons. Lineage: Eukaryota; Metazoa; Chordata; Mammalia; Carnivora; Canidae.
CCGUAGGCCCGCCCCCAUUGGCUGGGCUGACAGCGCAUGGGCGGGGCCAGGCGUGGGAGCGACAAGGAUGGCGGCCGCCACGGCGCUGAUCCUGCCGGAGAGCCCCAGCAUGAAAAAAGCAGUGUCGCUGAUAAAUGCAAUAGAAAUAGGAAGGUUUCCACGGUUGCUCACCCGAAUUCUUCAAAAACUUCACCUGAAGGCUGAGAGCAGUUUCAGUGAAGAAGAAGAAGAAAAACUUCAGGCCGCAUUUUCUCUAGAGAAACAAGAUCUUCACUUAGUUCUUGAAACAGUAUCAUUCAUUUUAGAACAGGCAGUGUAUCACAACGUGAAGCCAGCGGCUCUGCAGCAGCAGUUAGAGACCAUUCAUCUCAGACAAGACAAAGCAGAAGCGUUCAGCAAUGCUUGGUCUUCUAUGGGUCACGAAACAGUUGAAAAAUUCAGGCAGAGGAUUCUUGCUCCCCACAAGCUUGAGACAGUCGAAUGGCAGCUUAACCUUCAGAUGGCUCACUCUGCUCAGGCGAAACUGAAAUCUCCUCAGGCUGUAUUACAGCUAGGAGUGAGCAAUGAAGAUUCAAAGAUGCCUCCCGGCACCAGUCCACUGUUACCGGUGGGGAGCAGGGAACAUGGCCAGAAAUACUAAGAUCCCCUACUUUGGCGGUUUCAUUCCUGUUACCUUCAUUUCCCAAGAGCAUGGAGAAAGUUCUUGUGGAAUUCAGUCACAAAGAGUUGUUUGAUUUCUACAACAAGCUGGAGACCAUACAAGCACAGCUGGAUUCCCUUACAUGAUGUUCUCUAAGACCGGUUCCUCCAUCACACUCCUGCCACCUCAUCAUUCUGCUCUGAAGAUAGACUGCCAGGUUGUGUUUUCUGAAGGAUUCAGUAGCUUUCUUCUUAUAAACUGCACAGCUUAUCACUUCAUAGAGAAAUAACAGCCAAGGGAGAUGAUUGUUUUUAGAGCUCCUAACACACAUUCUCUCGCUCUGUAAGCCAAGGGCAAACAAUUGUUAAGAAUACUUUCACUUUAAAGGGAACAGUAAAUACCAUACUGUUAUUACUGUCUUGUUUUCGCUUUAUUGCCUGACCUGUUUAUUUUUACAUAUUUGAGGAUACUUUAUGUAUCAAGGAGGAUCCAUGGAUACAAAGUACGAUGUGUAGCUUAGAAUACAGAACUCCAGUAAUUACAUUAAUAAAAGCAAAGAAAGCAACCAAAUGCAAUAAAAAACUUUAUUUUUCCUUGAAUAUAAUGAUGUUUUGCUUGGGAAAUAUAGGAAAGAAAUUUAAAAUAGAGCAAGUAGUAGUAUAUCAGUUAAUUCCACUGUGAGCUUCUGAAUACACUUUAAUUUUUUUCAUUGAGUGUAAUGAUCUAAUGAUAGUCUAGGUUUUCAUGUGCUUUUCUUUGUACUACAAAUUAAUAAUGAUUCACUUCAUAGUAUGGAAGACAGGUUCAGACCAUCAAUAAAAAUAAUUGUCAUGAGUGCUAAAUAAGUAUCCUUAAAAUUUCAAAACCGAUACCUUUUACAUUUUCUUCCUAUAAAUAUGUUAAUUUAUUUUAGUCCAUUAAAUGUUUAUGUUUUAGAAUUAGGUGAACUGAGGUACACACAGAAUUUUAUGCGGUGAUUAUAUAAAUGUGAGUAUGGUCGCCUAUAAAAAAAAAAUACUACCAGUUGAAAUUUUAUGACUGAAAUACUUGUUCUAUAUUCUUUCUACAAAGAAAGACAGGAGGAGGGAGUGGGAAGAUAGAAGGGGGAAAAUUGAGGAAGACAGAGAUUUUUUUUUUUUUUUUUUGAGGAAGACAGAGAUUGAUUGGAGUCAAACACAACUUUCUUCAUAUGAAGAAAUUUGAUUUCAGAAAUGUCCUAUGGUUAAACAAACAGCCACUGAAAUUAAAUCACAUUCCUUCUAUGAGGUAUCUGCAUCAUAUAAGUGCUGAAGGUCUCUCAAAUAAAUGUUCAAUAUUUGGAA